This 64-nucleotide non-coding RNA is filed under the name Ralstonia sp. RNAcentral describes it as "Xanthine-I sequence". It matches the Rfam family "Xanthine riboswitch aptamer (NMT1 RNA)". Rfam says of the family: Later it was reported as a ncRNA that recognised Xanthine. RNAcentral also lists the same sequence under 1 other name. Lineage: Bacteria; Pseudomonadati; Pseudomonadota; Betaproteobacteria; Burkholderiales; Burkholderiaceae. The record is from RNAcentral.
UGCAAGAGUAGAAGCGUUCACCAGCCGCGCACACCAUGCCGGCUGGCCGGGAAUUGCUCUUGAA